UCCAUGUCUCUUUAAGCAACUCACUUUCAGACACAAACACGUGAACUAACUUCCUUAUUCCACACCUUGCACAUUUCCUUUCACUUAAUCAUAACCUGCCAUCCCAGUCAUACUAUUCAAUUCAUUUUUCAUUAUUUUAUUCAAUUCAUUUUUCAUUAUUUUACCCAUUCUAUGUGUAUAAUUAUACCCUACAAUAAUAAUGUCAAAUUCCAACUCUGCAUUAUGACUUAGCAUAUGUCUAUAUGGUUUCAGAUUUUGCUAUGUGGUUUCAGCAGAUACAAUUAUGCAGCAUUGCAUACAAGCAGAUACACUUACAAGGUAUAUACAAUGCUUCAAAAGUGGAAUUUUCUACAUGUAACAUUUUUUAAAUAAAUAAAUAAAAACAUAAUAAAUGUAAUAGUGUGAACCUGAAUAUGGAUUUGGAAUUGAAAAUUAACCUCCCAACUUGCAUUUUCUUGUGUAGAAGUUGCACCUACAAAAAAAAUCAAGAGUUCAAAAAGGUUUCACAAAUUGAAAGAAGAAAGAUAGAGAGACCUUGGCUGUUGAGAAUAUGCCUAUUUCUCAUCUUGUUAAUGAAUUAUUUGAAUAGGCUGUUUCCACUGGUUUAAAACUGUGAAUUAAUAAAAACAUAUGCAUAUAAGUAGUAGUUAAAGACAAAAUUUAACUAAAAUACAAGUUGUAGUUGGACAGAUUGUAGCAAUUUAUUUGCUGAACUUUGUAUUUUCUUAAGUGUUCUUUUUUCUUUUUUAAUUGGAAAAAUAUCAAUGACUUUUUUUCCAGUUGUUUUCUGUACAUGCAGAACGUAGAUGAUGUGUUGGUUGGUGUAAUUUUCUUGGCAUUCAACUGUACAUGAAGGCAAAGAAUCACAAAUGAGGCACAGCAGAAAGUACACUGCUGAAUACUAGGAAAAUUAGAGCUUACAAAUCAGCUAAGGAGAUGCAAACUGAUUCUGAG
Molecule: long non-coding RNA, 954 nt
Filed under: Phaseolus vulgaris (common bean)
Lineage: Eukaryota; Viridiplantae; Streptophyta; Magnoliopsida; Fabales; Fabaceae
Description: long non-coding RNA (PVUL_LNC004875)
Source: RNAcentral